This 484-nucleotide ribosomal RNA is filed under the name uncultured bacterium. RNAcentral's name for it is "bacterial SSU rRNA". It matches the Rfam family "Bacterial small subunit ribosomal RNA", at positions 57 to 524 of the family's 1533-position model. The record is from RNAcentral.
GCAGUCGAGCGGACCGAUGGGAGCUUGCUCCUUUAGGUUAGCGGCGGACGGGUAAGUAACACGUGGGCAACCUGCCCUGCAGACUGGGAUAACUUCGGGAAACCGGAGCUAAUACCGGAUAACACCGAAAACCGCAUGGUUUUCGGUUGAAAGGCGGCUUUUAGCUGUCACUGCAGGAUGGGCCCGCGGCGCAUUAGCUAGUUGGUGAGGUAACGGCUCACCAAGGCGACGAUGCGUAGCCGACCUGAGAGGGUGACCGGCCACACUGGGACUGAGACACGGCCCAGACUCCUACGGGAGGCAGCAGUAGGGAAUCUUGCGCAAUGGGCGAAAGCCUGAUCCAGCCAUGCCGCGUGUGUGAAGAAGGUCUUCGGAUUGUAAAGCACUUUAAGUUGGGAGGAAGGGCAGUAAAUUAAUACUUUGCUGUUUUGACGUUACCGACAGAAUAAGCACCGGCUAACUCUGUGCCAGCAGCCGCGGUAAU